This 253-nucleotide ribosomal RNA is filed under the name uncultured bacterium. Its description in RNAcentral is "partial 16S ribosomal RNA". It matches the Rfam family "Bacterial small subunit ribosomal RNA", at positions 524 to 776 of the family's 1533-position model. The record is from RNAcentral.
UACGUAGGGUGCAAGCGUUGCCCGGAUUUAUUGGGCGUAAAGGGCGCGUAGGCGGCUCGGCACGUCCGUUGUGAAAUCGCCCGGCUCAACUGGGCGGGGUCAGCGGAUACGGUCGAGCUUGAGCAAGCUAGGGGGCAAUGGAAUUCCCGGUGUAGUGGUGGAAUGCGUAGAUAUCCGGAAGAACACCGGUGGCGAAGGCGGUCUGCUGGGCAGUAGCUGACACUGAGGCGCGACAGCGUGGGGAGCAAACAGG